This 253-nucleotide ribosomal RNA is filed under the name uncultured bacterium. RNAcentral's name for it is "partial 16S ribosomal RNA". It matches the Rfam family "Bacterial small subunit ribosomal RNA", at positions 524 to 776 of the family's 1533-position model. The record is from RNAcentral.
UACGUAGGGUGCAAGCGUUGUCCGGAAUUAUUGGGCGUAAAGAGCUCGUAGGCGGUUCGUCGCGUCGGCUGUGAAAACCUGAGGCUCAACCUCAGGCCUGCAGUCGAUACGGGCGGACUUGAGUACUGCAGGGGAGACUGGAAUUCCUGGUGUAGCGGUGAAAUGCGCAGAUAUCAGGAGGAACACCGGUGGCGAAGGCGGGUCUCUGGGCAGUAACUGACGCUGAGGAGCGAAAGCGUGGGGAGCGAUCCGG